This 429-nucleotide ribosomal RNA is filed under the name Verrucomicrobiota bacterium. RNAcentral's name for it is "Verrucomicrobia bacterium partial 16S ribosomal RNA". It matches the Rfam family "Bacterial small subunit ribosomal RNA", at positions 355 to 776 of the family's 1533-position model. The record is from RNAcentral. Lineage: Bacteria; Pseudomonadati; Verrucomicrobiota.
UAGGGAAUCUUCCGCAAUGGACGAAAGUCUGACGGAGCAACGCCGCGUGAGUGAAGAAGGAUUUCGGUUCGUAAAACUCUGUUGUUAGGGAAGAAAAAAUGUAUAGUAACUAUAUACAAAAGAGACGGUACCUAACCAGAAAGCCACGGCUAACUACGUGCCAGCAGCCGCGGUAAUACGUAGGUGGCAAGCGUUGUCCGGAAUUAUUGGGCGUAAAGCGCGCGCAGGUGGUUUAGAAAGUCUGAUGUGAAAGCCCACGGCUCAACCGUGGAGGGUCAUUGGAAACUAAUAAACUUGAGUGCAGGAGAGAAGAGUGGAAUUCCUAGUGUAGCGGUGAAAUGCGUAGAGAUUAGGAGGAACACCGGUGGCGAAAGCGGCUUUUUGGCCUGCAACUGACACUGAGGCGCGAAAGCGUGGGGAGCAAACAGG